RNAcentral lists this ribosomal RNA (454 nucleotides) under uncultured bacterium. Its description in RNAcentral is "bacterial SSU rRNA". It matches the Rfam family "Bacterial small subunit ribosomal RNA", at positions 29 to 524 of the family's 1533-position model. The record is from RNAcentral.
AACGAACGCUGGCGGCAUGCCUAACACAUGCAAGUCGAACGAGACCUUCGGGUCUAGUGGCGCACGGGUGCGUAACGCGUGGGAACCUGCCUUUAGGUUCGGAAUAACUCAGAGAAAUUUGAGCUAAUACCGGAUAAUGUCUUCGGACCAAAGAUUUAUCGCCUUUAGAUGGGCCCGCGUAAGAUUAGCUAGUUGGUGGGGUAAAGGCCUACCAAGGCGACGAUCUUUAGCUGGUCUGAGAGGAUGAUCAGCCACACUGGGACUGAGACACGGCCCAGACUCCUACGGGAGGCAGCAGUGGGGAAUAUUGGACAAUGGGCGAAAGCCUGAUCCAGCAAUGCCGCGUGAGUGAUGAAGGCCUUAGGGGUUGUAAAAGGCUCUUUUUACCCGAGAUGAUAAUGACAGUAUCGGGAGAAUAAGCUCCGGCUAACUCCGUGCCAGCAGCCGCGGUAAU